RNAcentral lists this ribosomal RNA (572 nucleotides) under uncultured fungus. Its description in RNAcentral is "eukaryotic LSU rRNA". It matches the Rfam family "Eukaryotic large subunit ribosomal RNA", at positions 62 to 648 of the family's 3401-position model. Lineage: Eukaryota; Fungi. The record is from RNAcentral.
AAACCAACAGGGAUUACCUCAGUAACGGCGAGUGAAGCGGUAACAGCUCAAAUUUGAAAUCUGGGUCUUUCAGGCUCCGAGUUGUAAUUUGUAGAAGAUGCUUCGGGUGCGGCUCCGGUCUAAGUUCCUUGGAACAGGACGUCAUAGAGGGUGAGAAUCCCGUAUGUGAUCGGUUGCUUGCGCCCAUGUGAAGCUCUUUCGACGAGUCGAGUUGUUUGGGAAUGCAGCUCAAAAUGGGUGGUAAAUUUCAUCUAAAGCUAAAUAUUGGCCAGAGACCGAUAGCGCACAAGUAGAGUGAUCGAAAGAUGAAAAGCACUUUGGAAAGAGAGUUAAACAGUACGUGAAAUUGUUGAAAGGGAAGCGCUUGCAACCAGACUUGCGCGUUGCCGAUCAUCCGGGGUUCUCCCCGGUGCACUCGGCUUCGCUCAGGCCAGCAUCGGUUUUGGUGGUGGGAUAAAGGCCUUGGGAAUGUAGCUUCUUUCGGGGAGUGUUAUAGCCCUCGGUGCAAUGCCGCCUACUGGGACCGAGGACCGCGCUUCGGCUAGGAUGCUGGCGUAAUGGUUGUAAGCGAC